Molecule: unclassified non-coding RNA, 835 nt
Filed under: Hevea brasiliensis (rubber tree)
Lineage: Eukaryota; Viridiplantae; Streptophyta; Magnoliopsida; Malpighiales; Euphorbiaceae
Source: RNAcentral
GUUUUGUGUUGCUGUUUUGAUAUGAUCAUAUUUGACUUGUGAUGAGACAGUUAGUUUAUGGUAUUAUGAAAACUGACUUUCAAAUGACUAAAUUAGUAACUAUUAUUUGUUUGAUAAUAUCCAUGGGUGUGAUGAACUCAUUCAAAGUUAUUUGAUAUUAACAGUAAACUAUAAGAUGGGCAGAAUCCAUGUGUGAUGAAUUCAUUAUAUUUUAGUUUGUAGUAAGUUAAACGAUGGGGAAAGUAGUUGUUUAUUGUUUUUUACUAAAGUUAUCCUUGUUGCCCCCAACGACUAGUUAGUAUAAUCAAGUUGUAUAACUCUUGUAUUAACUUUCCUUAGUUUGCUCAAGUGAAGGUAUUGUUCCUAGUUAUCUUCUUCUAUUUGUUCAGGGUUCAUGACUUCAUUUUAAGGUUAUAAAUAGUUUUUUUGUUUGUAUUAAAUCUUGAGAUAGUUAACUAAGCUUGUCUUGUAUGUUUCGCAUGCUUAUUUUGACCCUAAUGUGAUGUAUCAUCCCCCUUCCCGUGUUCAUUCAUGAAUAUAUGAAGAGAAGUUUUGUGGUCACUAAAGUUAUAUUGUCUUCAUUUUAGUAUAAAAUUUCUAUUAUAUCUUCUCUUAUGUUUCAUGUACAAUCGGAGGGUUGGAGUUUCUACAUUGGAACUCGUUUUGGCCUAAAAUAUUAGGCCAACAGCAAUUAGGAUCAUGACAAUGCUUGGAGUCCUGCAAAUUCGGAGUCCAAAUAUUUCUUAGUCUUUCUCUUUUCGAGUUGUUUUGACUUGUUGGCUAACCUUUACUUCUAAGUUUUUGAUAUAUUGCUUGUCUUUUAUGUUGAAGUUUA